RNAcentral lists this ribosomal RNA (1569 nucleotides) under Saprospiraceae bacterium. RNAcentral's name for it is "partial 23S ribosomal RNA". It matches the Rfam family "Bacterial large subunit ribosomal RNA", at positions 1 to 1575 of the family's 2925-position model. Lineage: Bacteria; Pseudomonadati; Bacteroidota; Saprospiria; Saprospirales; Saprospiraceae. The record is from RNAcentral.
UAGGAAGCAAAUAAGGGCGUAUGGGGAAUGCCUAGGCUCCUAUAGACGACGAAGGACGUGGUAAGCUGCGAUAAGCUACGGGGAGUUGCAAACGAACUUUGAUCCGUAGAUGUCCGAAUGGGAAAACCUAUAUAGUUGAAGACUAUAUAUCCUGCAGUAAUGCAGGAAGGGAACCCAGGGAACUGAAACAUCUAAGUACCUGGAGGAGGAGAAAACAAUUAGUGAUUUCGCAAGUAGUGGCGAGCGAACGCGAAACAGCCCAAACCGUGGAGUAUUUUUACUUUGCGGGGUUGUAGGACCUGUAUAAUUCUGUUAGAAGGAAGAAGAAUCAGUUUGGAAAACUGAACCAUAGGGGGUGAUAGUCCCGUAUUCGUAACUGAUAACAGAUGACGGGUAUCCUGAGUAGCACGGAGCCGGUGAAACUCUGUGUGAAUCUGCCAGCACCAUCUGGUAAGGCUAAAUACUAAUAGGAGACCGAUAGUGAACGAGUACCGUGAGGGAAAGGUGAAAAGAACCCCAAGCAGGGGAGUGAAAAGAACCUGAAACCAUACGCUUACAAGCGGUCGGAGUUCCGUUGUACAACGGGAUGACGGCGUGCCUUUUGCAUAAUGAGCCUACGAGUUACACCUUGCUAGCAAGUUUAAUUCCUUAAGGGAAGGAGGCGUAGCGAAAGCGAGUCUGAAUAGGGCGAUACAGCUAGGAGGGGUAGACGCGAAACCGAGUGAUCUACCCAUGGGCAGGCUGAAGCCUCGAUAGUAUCGAGGUGGAGGGCCGAACCAGUACAUGUUGAAAAAUGUUUGGAUGACCUGUGGGUAGGGGUGAAAGGCCAAUCAAACUCGGAGAUAGCUCGUACUCCCCGAAAUGCAUUUAGGUGCAGCGUCGGGCUAUGAGUGUCAUGGAGGUAGAGCUACCAAUAGGGCUAGGGGGCUUCACCGCCUACCAACCCCUGAUGAACUCCGAAUGCCAUGACAUACUUCCCGGCAGUGAGGCACUGGGUGCUAAGGUCCAGUGCCGAAAGGGAAACAACCCAGACCAUCUGCUAAGGUCCCUAAGUAUAAGUUAAGUUGAUCCAACGAUGUGAGAAUGCUAUGACAGCUAGGAUGUUGGCUUGGAAGCAGCCAUCCAUUUAAAGAGUGCGUAACAGCUCACUAGUCGAGCGUUCUUGCGCGGAAAAUAAUCGGGCAUCAAACUUAUCACCGAAGCAAUGGCUUCACGCCUCACGGCGUGAGGGGUAGGGGAGCAUUCUGCUCGCACCGAAGCAGUCCUGUAAGGGGCUGUGGAGCAAGUAGAAAAGAAAAUGUAGGCAUGAGUAACGAUAAACACCGUGAGAAACGGUGUCGCCGAAAGACUAAGGUUUCCUCGAUCUAUGCUAAUCAGAUCAGGGUUAGUCGGGACCUAAGACAAACCCGAAAGGGGUAGUCGAUGGAAAACGGGUUAAUAUUCCCGUACCAGUCUAUACUGCUUGGAACGGACGAAGGUGUGUAACGCUCGCGUACUGACGGAAUAGUACGUUGAAUUCCGGGUAACUGGAAGAUAGUACACCAAUCCGCUUGCGGAAAGGUGAUAGUA